CUGGUUGAUCCUGCCAGACCCGACUGCUAUCGGAUUGGGACUAAGCCAUGCGAGUCAACUCCGCAAGGGGUGGCGCACGGCUCAGUAACACGUAGUCAGCCUACCCUGGGGACGGGGAUAACCUCGGGAAACUGAGGCUAAACCCCGAUGGGCCAUGGCUCCUGGAAUGGGCUAUGGCUGAAAUCUACAUGGCCCCAGGAUGGGACUGCGGCCGAUCAGGUUGUUGGUGGGGUAAUGGCCCACCAAGCCUAUAACCGGUGCGGGCUCUGAGAGGAGGAGCCCGGAGAUAGGCACUGAGACAAGGGCCCAGGUCCUAUGGGGCGCAGCAGGCGCGAAACCUCCGCAAUGGGCGAAAGCCCGACGGGGUCAGUCCGAGUGGUUCCUGCUGAGGGAACCUUUUGCCAGCUGUAAACAGGCUGGCGAAUAAGGGGUGGGCAAGUUUGGUGUCAGCCGCCGCGGUAAUACCAGCACCCCGAGUGGUCGGGACGAUUAUUGGGCCUAAAGCAUCCGUAGCCGGCCCAGUGAGUCCUCCGUUAAAUCCAACGGCUCAACCGUUGGGCUGCGGGGGAUACUGCUGGGCUAGGGGACGGGAGAGGCGAAGGGUAUUCCCGGGGUAGGGGUAAAAUCCACUGAUCCCGGGAGGACCACCAGUGGCGAAGGCGCCUCGCUAGAACGUGCCCGACGGUGAGGGAUGAAAGCUGGGGGAGCGAACCGGAUUAGAUACCCGGGUAGUCCCAGCCGCAAACGAUGUAGGCUCGGUGUUGGGCUGCCUCAGUGGCAGCCCAGUGCCGCAAGGAAGCCGUUAAGCCUACCGCCUGGGGAGUACGGCCGCAAGGCUGAAACUUAAAGGAAUUGGCGGGGGAGCACCAC
Molecule: ribosomal RNA, 870 nt
Filed under: uncultured archaeon
Lineage: Archaea
Description: bacterial SSU rRNA
Rfam family: Archaeal small subunit ribosomal RNA
Source: RNAcentral